Caenorhabditis elegans is the source of this 241-nucleotide non-coding RNA. Lineage: Eukaryota; Metazoa; Nematoda; Chromadorea; Rhabditida; Rhabditidae. The record is from Ensembl.
CUUUAGGCUUAGGCUUAGGCUUAGGCUCAGGCUUAGGGUUAGGCUUAGGGUUAGGCUUAGGCUUAAGCUUAGGGUUAGGGUUAGGCCUAGGCUUACGCUUAGACUAAAGCUUAGGCUCAGGCUUAGGCUUAGGCUUAGCCUUAUGCUUAGGCUUAGGCUUAGGCUGAGGCUGAGGCUUAGGGUUAGGCUUAGGCUUAGGCUCAGGCUUUGGCUUAAACUUAAGUUCAGGCUUAGGCCUAGG